AGCAAGAACAGUCAGAGAAUGCCCAAGGAUGAAGUCAUUGGUCUUGUCCAAUAAAGCACUAGCACUAGCAGCAAACACUGCCCGCAGGCAGGAAGGACUACUUCUGGCAACAGGGUCGAGCAUGUAGGAAAAAUAGCCAAUGGGUCUCUGUCUGGAACCAUGGGAUUGUGUAAGGACCCCUGAAGCAUGGCCCAUCUUUUCUGAAACAAACAGUUUGAAAGGCAAUUGGUAGUUG
Pelobates cultripes (western spadefoot toad) is the source of this 235-nucleotide non-coding RNA. The record is from the annotation of a GenBank genome assembly. Lineage: Eukaryota; Metazoa; Chordata; Amphibia; Anura; Pelobatidae.